This 493-nucleotide long non-coding RNA is filed under the name Serinus canaria (Common canary). RNAcentral describes it as "lncRNA (ENSSCAG00000001016.1)". Lineage: Eukaryota; Metazoa; Chordata; Aves; Passeriformes; Fringillidae. The record is from RNAcentral.
AGGGCAACCCUGGGAGAGCUGCUGCUGCCUCUGGGCCCCUGCCCUGCCUCCACAGGGCAAGGGGCUCCAGCCGCGAGGAGCUUUAGUGCCCACAUAAUUGCCCAUCUGUCAUUUUCUUUCUUAGGCUUUCUUCCUGUUGCCGUGGCAUACUUUGCGGUACUGGUCAUAGGCGCUGCAAUUUUGGCAGUUGCAAUGAAUCAGCCCAUGGAAGCCUCUGUGAAUGCCAAGGUUGCACAUGGUGGUCCUGGGGCUGCAUAAAUGGCCUGACUCUGCCCUUAGGGCAGCAGCUGAUUACAUGCUGGCACAGAAACAGCUCCUUCUGUUCAAUGCAAGGAAGGAAAAGCAAGAUUCCUUCCUUCCAAGCACACAGAUUCAUCUUCAGACGCCUGGUGCUGGAAAGUCCAAUCCCUCCCACAGCUUUUGCUUUCAAUGAUUUGGAGUUAAGCAGUAGAUAAGCAAUAAAUGAAUAGUGCUGAAUGUGUCUGUGUUGUGG